AGUUUGAUCAUGGCUCAGAACGAACGCUGGCGGCAUGCCUAACACAUGCAAGUCGAACGAGACCUUCGGGUCUAGUGGCGCACGGGUGCGUAACGCGUGGGAAUCUGCCCUUGGGUUCGGAAUAACAGUUAGAAAUGACUGCUAAUACCGGAUAAUGUCUUCGGACCAAAGAUUUAUCGCCCAGGGAUGAGCCCGCGUAGGAUUAGCUAGUUGGUGUGGUAAAGGCUCACCAAGGCGACGAUCCUUAGCUGGUCUGAGAGGAUGAUCAGCCACACUGGGACUGAGACACGGCCCAGACUCCUACGGGAGGCAGCAGUGGGAAUAUUGGACAAUGGGCGAAAGCCUGAUCCAGCAAUGCCGCGUGAGUGAUGAAGGCCUUAGGGUUGUAAAGCUCUUUACCCGGGAUGAUAAUGACAGUACCGGGAGAAUAAGCCCCGGCUAACUCCGUG
Molecule: ribosomal RNA, 449 nt
Filed under: uncultured bacterium
Lineage: Bacteria
Description: bacterial SSU rRNA
Rfam family: Bacterial small subunit ribosomal RNA
Source: RNAcentral